RNAcentral lists this long non-coding RNA (221 nucleotides) under Mytilus galloprovincialis (Mediterranean mussel). Lineage: Eukaryota; Metazoa; Mollusca; Bivalvia; Mytilida; Mytilidae. The record is from RNAcentral.
UGCAGAAAGUGUCGUUUAAGCAAUAGUUGAAACGGUGGUAAAAAACUGUUUUUUGUAUACUUUUUUCCUAAAAUUAAAUGUGUUUUAAUUUUCCGUUUAAAUGAUUUUUUCCUUUACAACUGCUUGGUAAAUGUUACCUUGGUGUCGAUGAUUUCAGAGUCUACCUCAGAAGCAUUAUUUUCAAGCCUGUCAUAUGAUCUAAAUAUACAUCAUACUAUUUU